AGGAUCAUUCACAAUGAGUGUUUUAUGGCACUCUUUAAAAAUCCAUAUCCACCUUGUGUGCAAUGUUUGUUGGGAGAGAGGCAACUCUUUCCCUUCACAAAUAUCAACCUAUAUCUUUAACAACAUUCGUCUGAUAACAUAUUAUGAAUAUACUUAAUUCAAAAUAUAACUUUCAACAACGGAUCUCUUGGCUCUCGCAUCGAUGAAGAACGCAGCGAAAUGCGAUACGUAAUGUGAAUUGCAGAAUUCAGUGAAUCAUCGAAUCUUUGAACGCAUAUUGCGCUCUUUGGUAUUCCGAAGAGCAUGCUUGUUUGAGUAUCAGUAAACACCUCAACCUCCUCUUGAUUUUUCAAAAGGAGGGUGGACUUGAGCUAUCCCAACAACCUUUACCGGUAGGCGGGCGGCUUGAAAUGCAGGUGCAGCUGGACUUUUAUCUGAGCUAAAAGCAUAUCUAUUUAGUCCUCGUCAAACAGGAUUAUUACUAUUGCUGCAGCUAACAUAAAGGAUAAUUGUCCUCAUUGCUGACUGAUGCAGGAUUUUACGACACUUUAUGUGUUGUUCAACUCGAUCUCAAAUCAAGUAAGACUACCCGCUGAACUUAAGCAUAUCAAUAAGCGGAGGAAAAGAAACUAACAAGGAUUCCCCUAGUAACGGCGAGUGAAGCGGGAUGAGCUCAAAUUUGAAAUCUGGCUGGUUUACUAGUCCGAGUUGUAAUUUAAAGAAGCGUUUUC
RNAcentral lists this ribosomal RNA (731 nucleotides) under uncultured fungus. RNAcentral describes it as "eukaryotic LSU rRNA". The stretch from base 168 to 321 matches the Rfam family "5.8S ribosomal RNA". Lineage: Eukaryota; Fungi. The record is from RNAcentral.